RNAcentral lists this ribosomal RNA (370 nucleotides) under Ellobiopsis sp. RNAcentral describes it as "partial small subunit ribosomal RNA". It matches the Rfam family "Eukaryotic small subunit ribosomal RNA", at positions 582 to 975 of the family's 1831-position model. Lineage: Eukaryota; Dinophyceae; Ellobiopsidales; Ellobiopsidaceae. The record is from RNAcentral.
AUUCCAGCUCCAAUAGCGUAUUUUAAAGUUGUUGCGGUUAAAACGUUCGUAGUCGUAUUUCUGCUUCGGGUGUUUCCUUCCAAAGGGGACAUUCGAGCAUUAGUGUGGGCGGUUUUCGUCACUUAACUGUGCCAAAGCAUAAACCCGCACUGAUUAUUUUGAGGAAAUUAGAGUGUUUAAAACAAGCAUGGUUAUGAAUAUAAUAGCAUGGGACAAUGUGAAACGGGGACGAGAUUGGCGUGGCUUUUGGCUCGGCCCAAUUUUCAAAAGGAGCAUUUGGAGGUAUUCGUAUUGAGCUGCUAGAGGUGAAAUUCUUGGAUUUUCUUAAGACGAACAAAUGCGAAAGCAUUUACCAAGGAUGUUUUCAUUG